This 253-nucleotide ribosomal RNA is filed under the name uncultured bacterium. RNAcentral describes it as "partial 16S ribosomal RNA". It matches the Rfam family "Bacterial small subunit ribosomal RNA", at positions 524 to 776 of the family's 1533-position model. The record is from RNAcentral.
UACGUAGGGUGCGAGCGUUAAUCGGAAUUACUGGGCGUAAAGCGUGCGCAGGCGGUUUUGUAAGCCAGAUGUGAAAUCCCCGGGCUUAACCUGGGAAUGGCAUUUGGGACUGCAAGGCUUGAGUGCGGCAGAGGAGACUGGAAUUCCUGGUGUAGCAGUGAAAUGCGUAGAUAUCAGGAGGAACACCGAUGGCGAAGGCAGGUCUCUGGGCCGACACUGACGCUCAUGCACGAAAGCGUGGGGAGCAAACAGG